RNAcentral lists this long non-coding RNA (1588 nucleotides) under Podarcis lilfordi (Lilford's wall lizard). The record is from RNAcentral. Lineage: Eukaryota; Metazoa; Chordata; Lepidosauria; Squamata; Lacertidae.
AUUGGGGAAAACGGCCUGCAGUUCUUGAGAGAAAGUAGGCAGGCAGGAAUCACACCGGUGCAGCUCGGUGGGGAAAAGGCAGGUAGAAAUCCCACCGGUGGAGUUUGGAUGCAGGGGAUACCGGGCGGAAAUCCCACCGGCGAAGCUAGCGCUGGGCUAUUGCCAGGAGACAGGCAGAAAUCGCACUGGUGCAGCUAGUAUUGGGAAUUUGGGUGGAGUGGCAGGCGGAAAUCUCACCGGCGAAGCUAGCGCUGGGAAAGGGGCUGCCAGCAGACGGGCGGAAAUCGCACCGGUGCAGCUAGUAUUGGGAAUUUGGGUGGACGGUCUGCAAUUCUCAAGGUUGCCAGCUGAGGAAGGAAGCAGGCAGGAAUCACACUGGUGCAGCUCGGUGGGGGGAAAGCCAGGUAGAAAUCCCACCGGUGGAGUUUGGGUGGAGUUGCGGGCGGAAAUACCACGGGUUGAGCUAGCGCUGGGAAAGGGUUUGCCAGGAGACAGGCAGAAAUCGCAAUGGUGCAGCUACUAUGGGAAAUUUGGGUGGAGUGGCGGGCGGAAAUCUCACCGGCGAAGCUAGCGCUGGGAAACGGGCUGCCAGCAGACGGGCGGAAAUCGCACUGGUGCAGCUCGGUGGGGAACAGCCAGGUAGAAAUCCCACUGGUGGAGUUUGGAUGGCGUUCCAGGCGGAAAUCCCACGGGUGAAGCUAGCAUUGGGAAAGGGUUUGCCAGCAGACGGGCGGAAAUCCCACUGGUGCAGCUUGGUGGGAAAAGCCAAAGCAGGGCUUUGCCAGGCAGGAAUAACACUGGUGCAGCUCGGUGGGAAAAGCCAGGUAGAAAUCCCACAGAUGGAGUUUGGAUGGCGUUCCAGGCCGAAAUCCCACUGGAGAAGCUAGCCCUGGGAAAUGUGUUGCCAGCAGACGGGCAGAAGUCCAACCGGUGAAGCUAGUGCUGGGAAAUUGCCAGGAGACGGGCAGAAAUCGCAAUGGUGCAGCUAGCAUUGGGAAUUUGGGUGGAGUGGCAGGCGGAAAUCCCACCGGCAAAGCUAGCGCUGGGAAAUUGCCAGGAGACGGGCAGAAAUCGCACUGGUGCAGCUAGUAUUGGGGAAACGGGCUGCAGUUCUCAAGGUUGCCAGCCGAGGAAGGAAGCAGGCAGGAAUAACACCGGUGCAGCUCGGUUGGGAAAAGCCAGGUAGAAAUCCCACCGGUGGAGUUUGGAUGCAGAGGAUUACGGGCGGAAAUCCCACGGGUGAAGUUAGCUCUGGGAAAUUGCCAGGAGACAGGUAGAAAUCGCACCGGUGCAGCUUGGUGGAGAAAAGCCAGGUAGAAAUCCCCCCGGUGGAGUUUGGAUGGCGUUCCAGGCGGAAAUCCCACUGGUGUAGUUUGCGCUGGGAAAUGGCCAGGAGACAGGUAGGAAUCGCACCGGUGCAGCUUGGUGGAGAAAAGCCAGGUAGAAAUCCCCCCGGUGGAGUUUGGAUGCAGAGGAUUACGGGCGGAAAUCCCACGGGUGAAGUUAGCUCUGGGCAUUUGGGUGGAGGGUCUGCAGUUCUCAAGCUGGCCAGCGGACGGGCAGAAAUCUUAAUGGUGCAGCUAUGAUU